Dipodomys ordii (Ord's kangaroo rat) is the source of this 70-nucleotide non-coding RNA. The record is from Rfam. NCBI's taxonomy places the organism in Eukaryota, Metazoa, Chordata, Mammalia, Rodentia, Heteromyidae.
GGGAAGAUGGCUCAGUGGUAGAGUGCUUGCCUUGCAUUCAUGAGACCUUAGGUUCGAUUCCUCAGUACCA